Molecule: ribosomal RNA, 238 nt
Filed under: Staphylococcus warneri
Lineage: Bacteria; Bacillati; Bacillota; Bacilli; Caryophanales; Staphylococcaceae
Description: partial 16S ribosomal RNA
Rfam family: Bacterial small subunit ribosomal RNA
Source: RNAcentral
ACUCAAAGGAAUUGACGGGGACCCGCACAAGCGGUGGAGCAUGUGGUUUAAUUCGAAGCAACGCGAAGAACCUUACCAAAUCUUGACAUCCUUUGACCGCUCUAGAGAUAGAGUCUUCCCCGUCGGGGGACAAAGUGACAGGUGGUGCAUGGUUGUCGUCAGCUCGUGUCGUGAGAUGUUGGGUUAAGUCCCGCAACGAGCGCAACCCUUAAGCUUAGUUGCCAUCAUUAAGUUGGGC